GUACCCGUAGCUCAGUCGGAUAGAGCGACUGCCUCCGGAGCAGUAGGCCGUGAGUUCGAAUCUCGCCGGGUACACCA
This 77-nucleotide transfer RNA is filed under the name Lentisphaerota bacterium. RNAcentral describes it as "Lentisphaerae bacterium (anaerobic digester metagenome) tRNA-Arg". It matches the Rfam family "tRNA". Rfam says of the family: Transfer RNA (tRNA) molecules are approximately 80 nucleotides in length. Their secondary structure includes four short double-helical elements and three loops (D, anti-codon, and T loops). RNAcentral also lists the same sequence under 1 other name. The record is from RNAcentral. Lineage: Bacteria; Pseudomonadati; Lentisphaerota.